AAACGGACGCUAAUACCGCAUACGUCCUACGGGAGAAAGCAGGGGACCUUCGGGCCUUGCGCUAUCAGAUGAGCCUAGGUCGGAUUAGCUAGUUGGUGAGGUAAUGGCUCACCAAGGCGACGAUCCGUAACUGGUCUGAGAGGAUGAUCAGUCACACUGGAACUGAGACACGGUCCAGACUCCUACGGGAGGCAGCAGUGGGGAAUAUUGCACAAUGGGCGAAAGCCUGAUGCAGCCAUGCCACGUGUGUGAAGAAGGCCUUCGGGUUGUAAAGCACUUUCAGCGAGGAGGAAGCGAUAAAUGCCAAUACCAUUUAUUUUUGACGUUACUCGCAGAAGAAGCACCGGCUAACUCCGUGCCAGCAGCCGCGGUAAUACGGAGGGUGCGAGCGUUAAUCGGAAUAACUGGGCGUAAAGGGCAUGUAGGCGGUGAGUUAAGUCAGAUGUGAAAUCCCCGAGCUCAACUUGGGAAUGGCAUUUGAAACUGGGUCGCUAGAGUUUUCUAGAGGGGGGUAGAAUUCCAGGUGUAGCGGUGAAAUGCGUAGAUAUCUGGAGGAAUACCGGUGGCGAAAGCGGCCCCCUGUAGAAAGACUGACGCUGAGUGCGAAAGCGUGGGGAGCAAACAGAUUAGAUACCCUGGUAGUCCACGCUGUAAACGAUGUCGAUUUGGAGGUUGCGGUCCUGAACUGUGGGCGUCCAGGAGCUAACGCGUUAAAUCGACCCGCCUGGGGGAGUACGGCCGCAAGGUUUAAAACUAAAUAGAAUUUGACGGGGGCCCGCACAAGCGGUGGAGCAUGUGGUUUAAUUCGAUGACACGCGAAGAACCUUACCUACUCUUGACAUCCACGGAACUGCCAGAGAUGCGCAGGUGCCUUCGGGAACCGUGAGACAGGUGCUGCAUGGCUGUCGUCAGCUCGUGUUGUGAAAUGUUGGGUUAAGUCCCGCAACGAGCGCAACCCUUGUCCUUUGUUGCCAUCGCGUAGAGGCGGGAACUCAAAGGAGACUGCCGGUGAUAAACCGGAGGAAGGUGGGGACGACGUCAAGUCAUCAUGGCCCUUACGAGUAGGGCUACACACGUGCUACAAUGGCGUAUACAAAGGGAUGCGACCCUGCAAGGGCAAGCGGAACUCAGAAAGUACGUCGUAGUCCGGAUUGGAGUCUGCAACUCGACUCCAUGAAGUCGGAAUCGCUAGUAAUCGUAGAUCAGAAUGCUAC
This 1214-nucleotide ribosomal RNA is filed under the name uncultured Enterobacteriaceae bacterium. RNAcentral describes it as "bacterial SSU rRNA". It matches the Rfam family "Bacterial small subunit ribosomal RNA", at positions 154 to 1360 of the family's 1533-position model. Lineage: Bacteria; Pseudomonadati; Pseudomonadota; Gammaproteobacteria; Enterobacterales; Enterobacteriaceae. The record is from RNAcentral.